This 227-nucleotide unclassified non-coding RNA is filed under the name Hevea brasiliensis (rubber tree). Lineage: Eukaryota; Viridiplantae; Streptophyta; Magnoliopsida; Malpighiales; Euphorbiaceae. The record is from RNAcentral.
AAAAAUGGCUAAUAAAUAUAUUAUUAAUUAUCUGUUACCUUUUUAAAAAGUUAGAAUAUUUAUCAAUUAUCAAUUAUCUCCAAUAAUUAAAUCAAACAUCACAUAAGUCAAUAACAGAGCUAUUCGGAGAAUAUCAAACAUAAAUAUUUAAUUAUUGAAAUACCUGUUAGUUAUCGAAUGUCUUCAAUAGUUAAACCAAAUACCCUUCAUCACCUCUGCCUACGUCG